Molecule: long non-coding RNA, 1159 nt
Filed under: Cyanistes caeruleus (blue tit)
Lineage: Eukaryota; Metazoa; Chordata; Aves; Passeriformes; Paridae
Description: lncRNA (ENSCCEG00000004873.1)
Source: RNAcentral
GGCCGGUGACACGCGGGGCCGGUGACACGCGGGGCCGGUGACACGCGGGGCCGGUGACACGCGGGCUCCCGUGACGCCGACACCCCGCACCCCUCUCAGGGUGCUGGCGGGUGUCACGGGAGCCGCGGGGUGCGGAGCCACCCCCGCGCCCUGCACAGCCUGACCCACUUCCCGCAGGCGCUAGCGCACAGAUGGAGCAGACGCUGCGGGGCUGUGGGCGCAGGGACACGGCCCACCUCCUACCCUCGGUCCCUCUGGCUGUGUGUCACCCCUGGGCUGCCCCUCGGCAGGUGUCCCUCACGCAGCGUGGGGUGUCCCGCAGCAGGUGUAACUCUCUGGGUGUCCGUGUCCCCCCCCGUGUCCCCUCCAACUGCCCCCGAGAGUGUGUGGGGGUGUCCAUCCCUGUGUGGACUGUCCCCAUGCCCCCUCCCCUGUGGUCUCUGGCUGUCCCCACGUGGUCUUUGCCCAAGCAGAGGUGUCCCUGGGCUGUCCCCACAUGGUCCCAUCUGUGUAUCCUCAGCCGGGGCUGGGUGUUCUGGGAGUGUCCCUGCGCCCCGUCUCUCUGGGGCUGUGUCCCUGUGCCGGGAGCCCCGGCUGUCCCCUCUGGUGACCCCCAGCACACACAGGCAGGGAGGGGCUGAGCCCUGUCCCAUCCCACUGGGGAUUACAAGGGGCUCAACCCAGCUCUGCCUAAUCCGGGGGAUUACACGGGCUGGGCCCAGCCGGGGGGGGCGCCCAGGGGUGCCCCCCACAAGGACACGGCACGUGGCAGCUGAGGACAGCAAGGGGGGCUCCCAGCAGCAACCAAAGGCACCACGUACCCCAACACACGGCCACAGGGUGGGUUUGGGGGGUGAGGGGAGCACAGCAGACGCCCCAGGUUUAUUGGGGUGCGGGGUGGGGGCUCAGGCGCUGCCGGUGCCCUGCUGCAUUCGCUUGAGCAGCUCCUCGUCCUGCAGGGACAGCUCUGUCAGCUUCUUGCCCAUCCGCUCGUGCACCUCCAGGUACUUGGCCACGCAGCGGUCCAGGCACACGCAUUCCCCUUUGGACAGCUCCGACUCCUUGUAGUGCGGGGGGACGCACUUGCGGUGGCACGCCUGGGUCAUCCUGCACGCAUCGCCACCGCGCCUGAGUCCCGCACCACCCGGGAGCCGGCCCU